UACAGAGGGUGCAAGCGUUGUUCGGAAUUAUUGGGCGUAAAGGGCGCGUAGGCGGUGCUCCAAGUCUGGUGUGAAAUCUCCCGGCUUAACUGGGAGGGUGCAUUAGAAACUGGAAUGCUAGAGGAUGGGAGAGGUAAGCGGAAUUCCUGGUGUAGCGGUGAAAUGCGUAGAUAUCAGGAGGAACACCUGUGGUGUAGACAGCUUACUGGACCAUUUCUGACGCUGAGACACGAAAGCGUGGGUAGCAAACAGG
This 253-nucleotide ribosomal RNA is filed under the name uncultured bacterium. RNAcentral's name for it is "partial 16S ribosomal RNA". It matches the Rfam family "Bacterial small subunit ribosomal RNA", at positions 524 to 776 of the family's 1533-position model. The record is from RNAcentral.